Long non-coding RNA from Pundamilia nyererei, 236 nucleotides. RefSeq lists it as uncharacterized. The transcript has 3 exons. The record is from RefSeq and is a predicted model, not a curated record. NCBI's taxonomy places the organism in Eukaryota, Metazoa, Chordata, Actinopteri, Cichliformes, Cichlidae.
CUAACUACGAGCCAUGUCUGUGUACAGCUCGCUGGGUGGAGACUCAUCCUCACUGUGGACUUUCAUCCUGUGCUCAGCUUUGCUCGUCUGGACUCCCGUUCAAGUUAUUCCGACGUCCCGUGAUGGUAAAGGAAGUCCAGAAGUCUUCAGCAGUCAACUCGGUGAGGUGGUUGUGGUGAUUGGUUCAAAUCUUCCAAUCAUUGCUGCUCCGGGUGAUGAUGUCAUCCUGCCGUGUC